AUUGAGUGAAACCCCUACUCUAGCCAAAACCUUUUAGUUGUAGGAAAAAAUGUCCAUGAAGAUAAAAAUGUGGAAAAUAUAGCCUUUUUAGUGUUGAAAUGACUAAGUUAUCCUUACUAAUAUAUUUUGAUUAAUUAAUAUUUUACAAUUUUCGAAAAUAUAUCAAAAUAUUAAAAAGAGAAAUAGUAAAAACAAAACCUAGAUUUUGGGUGAAAUCAUAUUUGGGUAAAAAAAAAAUAGAGUUACCAUCUUCUUCCCCAAGUCACCUUCAUAUCCAACGACCUUUUCCGGCGACCUCAUUCCGGCGGUUUCGCAAGGCGGUCUCCACGGCCUUCUUACUCCUCUUCAUCUCGUUUCCGAGGAGAGCGGCGCGGUCUGAGGCGGUGAAGUCAGCGGCGCGGGUGAAGUCAGCGGCGUCUGAAAAUCUAUAUGGGCUUCCGAUGCGGGUGAAAGCAGCGGUGCGGUCUGAGGCGGUGACGGCGGCGCCUAGGUCAGAGAAGGUGGCGGCAGCGGCGCGGUGGGGCGGAGGCGUGAAGACAACGGCAAAAUUCUAGGGUUUGACUUGGCUGGAUCUAUGUUCGGGGGGGCUUCCGGCGCGGGUGAAGGCAGCGGCGCAUUCGGUCUGAGACGGUGAUGGCGGCGGCCCGGUGGCGGAGGUGUGAAAAUGGCGGCUGAAUUCUAGGGAUUGAGUUUUUUGAAAUUUAGAUGUAGUAAAUUUUGUGUAGUAAUUUUAUUUGAAGUAAUUUUAUGUAAAGUAUUUUUGUAUUUUAAUUCAAAUAUAUUAAAUAAAACUUUUCAGUUUUUCUAAA
Molecule: long non-coding RNA, 809 nt
Organism: Salvia miltiorrhiza (redroot sage)
Lineage: Eukaryota; Viridiplantae; Streptophyta; Magnoliopsida; Lamiales; Lamiaceae
Exons: 2
Source: RefSeq, a predicted model, not a curated record